Molecule: long non-coding RNA, 504 nt
Filed under: Medicago truncatula (barrel medic)
Lineage: Eukaryota; Viridiplantae; Streptophyta; Magnoliopsida; Fabales; Fabaceae
Description: long non-coding RNA (MTRU_LNC003721)
Source: RNAcentral
UCUUCAGUUCAGUGACUCGAAACUUGUGGGGGAAUGGAAGCCUCAACUAUGGAACAAGUUCUGCAAAUUCCAAUGCAUACAUUGGAUCAGGAAGUGGGAAUGUUGGAGGAAAUGCAUUUGGCAAUACUGGUGUCAACUGGAGUUCUUCGCCGAUUUCUGGACAUGGUGGCGGGAACAAUGUGUCACAGGGUAGUGGCAAUCUUGGAUAUGGAGGUGGCAACAACGGUUAUGGAUUGGGGACUGAAGGGUAUGGAAGAAGCAGUGGUUCCACUCUCGCACCAACAUCUUCAUACUCUACAUCAAAUGGUGGUGGUGUAGAUGGGGCUUUUGCUGAUUUUUACAACAACAAUUCGGUCUACGGGGACACCACUUGGCGAUCUUCAAAUUCUGAGAGAGAUGGAUCUGGUCCCUUCGGUUACGGACUUGGUGGUGCACCUUCGGAUGUUUCUGCCAAGACUUCUCCCGGUUAUGUUGGUGGUUAUACUGUUAAUAAAAGGCAGCCAA